UACGUAGGGUGCGAGCGUUGUCCGGAAUUAUUGGGCGUAAAGGGCUCGUAGGCGGUUUGUCGCGUCGGGAGUGAAAUCCACUGGCUUAACUGGUGGCUUGCUUUCGAUACGGGCAGACUGGAGGUAUGCAGGGGAGAACGGAAUUCCUGGUGUAGCGGUGGAAUGCGCAGAUAUCAGGAGGAACGCCGGUGGCGAAGGCGGGUCUCUGGGCAGUAACUGACGCUGAGAAGCGAAAGCGUGGGGAGCGAACAGG
RNAcentral lists this ribosomal RNA (253 nucleotides) under uncultured bacterium. RNAcentral's name for it is "partial 16S ribosomal RNA". It matches the Rfam family "Bacterial small subunit ribosomal RNA", at positions 524 to 776 of the family's 1533-position model. The record is from RNAcentral.